CUCGGUGAAGAGAAAGUAAAAAAAAUGCAGAGAAGAAAUCUUUGGGUCUCUGCUACUAAAAUCCUAAGCAGAAGAUUACGUUCAAGUUCUCGAUUUUCAACUAAUUUGGAUCCCGAGUUACAAUCUACUAGAGUUAUUUCUUGUUCGUUUCACCAUGCUGGAGAAUCUAGGGUUUUUAAGAGCUCAUAUGGCAACAUUUUUCUGGCGAAUUACAGGAAGAAUUUCUGUUCAUUAGAUGAAAAUUCUGGGAGAUGCUGGAAUUGUGGAGUUGUGGCUGUGUCUAAACCAUUUCUCUCUUGUGACUCUUGUAAAAGCGUUCAACCGGUUCAUACUUCCGUGGAUUAUUUCCAGAUUUUCGGAUUGGAGAAAGCGUUUGAGAUAGAGGAUACCAAUCUGGAGAAAACAUAUAAAGAUUGGCAGAAGAAACUUCAUCCUGAUUUGGUUCAUAUGAAAUCUGAGAAAGAAAAGGAGUUUGCUGCUGAACAGUCCUCUCGGGUAAUUGAUGCUUAUCGAACACUAAGGAAGCCGUUGUCUAGGGCAAUAUACCUUUUGGGUCUUGAAGGUGUACAUGUGGAUGAAGAAAGAACAGUAUCGGAUCCUGAAUUACUAGCUGAGAUCUUGGAUAUCAGGGAAGCAGUUGACGAGGCCUCUAAUUCACAGUCUUUAAAGAAAAUCCAGGGUCAGGUACAAGAGAAGCUAGAAAUCUGGUCCAAGUCCUUUGAGAGUGCUUUUAACAAAAAGAAGUUUGAAGACGCUGUAACCUCAAUUCAAAGAAUGACUUGCUACGAUCGAAUAAAUGACGAAAUUGUAAAGAAGCUUUGAUUUAGAUCAUAACUUUUUCUGAAAGGAAGACGACGGAGAAAGAUUAAUAGAAUCAGGAGAAGUCAUCGAAGUAGUAUUCUGUUAACAAAUGAAGUUAUCCAAGGAGAACAUUGGACUUUCUGUUUGUUGCGUGGAAUGGUGAGACUGCGAGAAGAGUAAUUAGAUGUACUUGAACCUGGUUGAGAAUUCUCAUGUGAAGGCUGGACAGACAAGUUUUCCAAUUUAUAUUUUGGAUUCAUUCUCAGAUACAACUGGUUAGUCACAACUACCAUCUCGCUGGAUUAUUCAUUUGGAACUUUAUUCUGUGUAUAUUAUUUUAUAUCCUAACUUGUUAGCUGCAUUUUAAAAGUGGCUUCAAGUGAAAGAUUUCCUUCGUAUCAUCCAAGGUUACGUAGAGAUGGUUUGUUUUGGUAAUGAUAAGAGACUCUAGAAUAGGCAUGUCAAGUAACAUGUACUUUAUGAAUAUAUGAUCAUCAUGUUAAAUAACAAAA
Papaver somniferum (opium poppy) is the source of this 1313-nucleotide RNA transcript. It is a transcript of the gene named iron-sulfur cluster co-chaperone protein HscB, mitochondrial-like, with no coding region annotated. The transcript is spliced from 8 exons. Lineage: Eukaryota; Viridiplantae; Streptophyta; Magnoliopsida; Ranunculales; Papaveraceae. The record is from RefSeq and is a predicted model, not a curated record.